GUUUGAGAACACAAGAAUAUUGGAAGUCAAGUUUUGAGAAGAGCAUCAAACACUGCCUAGAUCAAGAUCUUAUUAGCAAAGUGUGCAAAAAAAAUGGGGCUUGGCAGGCAACAAAUAUAGAUAUAUCGAGAAGUAUCAAGCGUUAGCUCAUGCAAGCAUCAAGUUGGAAUUAUUGUAGAAGUUUAACCUUUCGCUAACCUUAAACUUUUAUAUGUUAUUGUAUUGAAAGAAUAUUUUAUUGAAAUAAAAAUAUUUG
This is a non-coding RNA of Hydra vulgaris (swiftwater hydra), 256 nucleotides long. Lineage: Eukaryota; Metazoa; Cnidaria; Hydrozoa; Anthoathecata; Hydridae. The record is from RefSeq and is a predicted model, not a curated record.